GACGGAGGAUGCGAGUGUUAUCCGGAAUCACUGGGCGUAAAGCGUUUGUAGGUUGUUUGGUAAGUCUGUUGUUAAAUCUUGAAGCUCAACUUCAAAACUGUAAUAGAAACUACUAGACUUGAGGAUAGUAGGGGUAAAGGGAAUUUCCAGUGGAGCGGUGAAAUGCGUAGAGAUUGGAAGGACCACCGAUGGCGAAGGCACUUUACUGGGCUAUUUCUGACACUAAGAAACGAAAGCUAGGGUAGCGAAUGGG
This 253-nucleotide ribosomal RNA is filed under the name uncultured bacterium. Its description in RNAcentral is "partial 16S ribosomal RNA". It matches the Rfam family "Bacterial small subunit ribosomal RNA", at positions 524 to 776 of the family's 1533-position model. The record is from RNAcentral.